Callithrix jacchus (white-tufted-ear marmoset) is the source of this 11933-nucleotide long non-coding RNA. RefSeq lists it as uncharacterized. NCBI's taxonomy places the organism in Eukaryota, Metazoa, Chordata, Mammalia, Primates, Cebidae. The record is from RefSeq and is a predicted model, not a curated record.
UUGCAUUGUAAAUUUCAUCUUGUGUGGUGAACAUUUUUCCCAUGUCUCUAAAUAGUCUUAAAACAUAUUAAUUGACUGCCUAUUAAAAAAAAUCCUUUGAAGUCUCUGGCUCCCAGAUAAGAAGUGUUGCGCAUGACACCUGUUGCACACAGCCCACCUCCUUGCCUCAGUGACCUAAUGGGGGUGCACCCCUUUUCUGUACACGACCCACUACUGUGCACGGCAUGGCCCCCUACUGUACAUGGCCCACCUCUCUGGCCAGGUGACAUAAUGAGGUGAAACCCUCACUUGUGACUCAUGUGAUUAUGUAUGCCCUAUCACUAAGCCUAUAGAUAACCUCACUUACGACCCUUCCUUUUGCUUGUACCUAAUAAAUACAGACGCUUCUGUGUGUUAGGGGCUGGCCUGUCUCUGACAUGUCUCUGAACAUGUCUCCGUUCGCGGCAUGGCCCCCCGAGUCCAGAUGCUCUUCAUCAGUUCUUCAGUGUCCUGUCUCUUUACUUCUCGGAUCCUGCGCCUCAGCACAGCAUAAGGGACACCCCAAGACCCUGUGGGGCCUUACAUUUCUUUGCCAUAAUGUGAAAUGGCCCUGCAAAGCUGUUCUUUGCGGGGGAAACUUUACAUCUGUAAAGAAUGUCUAUUAACGUAGCUAGAUCUUUUUCUUCCAGACCCUCCCAAUCCUAAAGAGAUUAACUAAAAUCUGAAUAGGAAACAUUUGUCAUCUGUUGUCUCUAAGGGCAGCCACUAUAAGACUUCAAAUAACUUUUCCCACAAUCUUUACCUUAACCUGAACAUUCCCUUCCUACGAAUCCCAGGUCUCUAGACAAACUCAAUCAGUUACCAACCAGAAAAUGUUUAAAUUCACCUAUAGCCUGGAACUGCGCACUGCCCCCCCGCCCCGACCCCUUUGAGUUGUUCCUCCUUUCUGGACCAAACCAAUGUAUUUCUUAAAUGUAUUUGAUUGAUGUGUCAUACCUCUCUAAAAUGCGUAAGACUGGCUGGGCUCGGUGGCUCACGCCUGUAAUCCCAGCACUUUGGGAGGCCCGAGGCAUGCAGAUCACCUGAGGAGGGGAGUUUAAGACUAGCCUGACCAACAUGGAGAAACCCCAUCUCUACUAAAAAUACAAAAUUAGCUGGGCCUGGUGGCGCAUGCCUGUAAUCCCAGCUACUUGGGAGGCUGAGGCAGGAGAAUUGCUUGAACCUGGGAGGCAGAGGUUGCAGUAAGUUGAGAUUGUGCCAUUGCACUCCAGCCUGGGCAACAAGAGCAAAACUCCAUCUCAAUAAAUAAAUAAAUAGUAUAAAACCAAGCUGCACCCUGACCUCCUUGGGCACGUGUUCUCAGGACCUCCUGAGGGCUGUGUGAUGGGGCCAUGGUCACUCAUAUUUGGCUCAGAGUAUAUCUCUUCAAAUAUUUUAGAGUUGGACUCUUCCUUGACAGUGGGAAGGGGAGGAGCAUCAGAACCCAGCAGACAGAUGGGCUUUCCCCUUUCUAACUGCAUGAGGACGCCCGACCUCUCCAGGGGCCUUGUUCCCCUGGGAACUGAUAACAUCACAUCACAGUUUUGUUGAGCAGAUGACACUAAGACCACACGUGUAAGCGCAGCUGGCACACAGUAGACCUUGAACAGGUACCUGUUCCCUUCUCUCGAGAGCCAAGGCCUCUGGAAGAAACGCGUGCAGCUGCAUCUGGUCACCAGCCACUCAGAAGCCCAACCUGCUGUUCUGUAACCAUGCAGCUUACAGAACAGCCACAUGCGGUCCUACUUGUCAGGAUCUCCCUGUUCUUUCGGUUCUGGUGUUUUCCUUUAUUCGCUCCCUCCUACGUCUUGAAGCAGCUCUGCUCUCUGGUUUCCCCAAGCAGAGCUCCUAAGAUCCCCAGACUCCUGCUGGAAGGGAGUUCCUGCCUUGGGUGUGCCUGAGUGUGCUGAGUUGAAAGGCAGUUUGUCUGAGGUGGGGAGCCGUGUGUGCACAACACAGCGAGGGAGUGACCCCGUCCAGGGAGCCGGCUCCCCUUAACAGAGCGAGCGGGGAAAUCAAGACGCAGGCGCUAUCAUAAAUGGUGGCAGUGAUGGCCGAAGGCAGAAGAUAAGCUGGACUCCUGAAAGCGGACACCCCCAGGAAAAUUCCAUCACCCGCCCGGAGGAGCUCUGUAGACUCAGCUGGGGCAGGCCUUCAGCACCCCCUAAACUGGGACUCUCGACUGAGAAGAGAUCCCCUCUGCUACUGGGCCUCCACGAUGCUGGUCUUCUGUAACUUACAGGCCUGGCCUCCAUGCUGCCCCACCUUCAUGCUGGAGAAUCUUUAUUGAUUGCUGCAGACCAACACUAACUUAGGCUGAGCUCCACAUUCCAGCACAUCCCCAGGGCUCUUUUUCUUCCUUUGAGAUAGACGGCUGACUCUGGUCUGUCUUCACUGACGGGUGAGGGCUUCCUGCACUGCUUUGCUUUCCUCUUCAUGAAAGUGUCGACCAGUAGAUCUCACAGUGUGGUCUUUGGACCAAUGGCACCACCAUCACCUGUGAGCUUGUUAGAACGGCAGAAUCUCUGGCUCUAUCCAAACCUGCUGAAUCAGAGACUCUGGAGGUAUAGCUGUGCUAUCCACAUUUUAACAAGUCCUCUGGGGGAUUCACAUGCAUGCUGAAGUCUGAGAACCGCUGGUGUGAUAUACUACCCAGGAGCCCUGAGUAGGACACCUCAUUUAGUUUUCCGAUCCCCACAAGGAGAACUUGUCCAGGCACAUUAUGCUUGUGGCUACAGAGUGUCUUCUCAAGGCAGGCAGGCUGCCUACGUCCCACUCGUCCAGUGUGUAACCCAUCAGCUGACCCGACAGUGCUGAGGCCGGACUGAGAAUCCACCGAAUGCCUCAUGAGCUCUUUUCUUCCAGAAGGUGCAGCAGGAAUCAGAUGGCUGUAGGCAUUGCCAUAGCAACUGUACCCCUCCAAAGUGCUGACGGGCUGCAGGAGCAGAGUAAGCACCGUGUAGUAUCUGCCAGUGGAUGUAGCAUCACCAGCAGAUGAGAGGGGCUGUGGAGGGAAGAGGAAGCUCAGGGUGGCCAGGACUUAUGGACAAGAAUUCAGUGGAGCUGUUGCUUCCUCAAGACCCAUGAUGCAUUUGGUAGUCCUCCAGGGGUCUCCGGCACUGCAAAACAGUGCCAGCCCAGCCUGUGGCCGAAUAGCAGCCUGGCCCACCCAGGAGUCAGUGAUGCUGCAGUCUCUCAAAAGACCGUCUACCUCGGUUAAAUUGGGCGGCUAAGUGGUCACAGAGCAAUUAAGAUGGAAGUGCCCAUCUUUCUUCUGUGAUGACCACCUGUGUUCCUUGCCAGGGCUGAGGAAAGGGACCCAGUUCCAAAUGUCUGAUAGGGAUCUGGGUCCUAAAGCAGAUGCCAAUAGUCACAAAGGAGCUCGGGGCUUAGGUAAUGGUGAGUAUUCUAGCUCUCCAAGAAAUCAACCUUAGCAGGAACCGGUAUCACUAGAGUGCACCUGGUACCUGAAUGCUGGCCCCAGAGCUGAGGACCCGGAGAGUCAGCAGGGACUCGGGCAGAGAAGAGGGCCCCAUGCCCUUGGAAACAGGGAUCCCUGCUUGCCUGGAGGGCCGGGGAGGGGCCAGGGCAAGUGGAACCCCAUGGAAAGUUUGGGGGGACACAGUGCCAACCAGUGGGAAGAUGAGCUAUGGUGGAGAAGAGACAGGUGGAGAGGAAAGGAUGGAAGGAGUGAACACCCGCCUCUUUUAUUUUAUCCUGACUGCUCCUUGCCAGGCUUCCCUGGGACUCCAUCUGUGUGCGGCCAGGAGUUGAUCCACCAGCUCUGCACAGUCCUCCUCAAAGCCAAGGGCAGGGGUCUGCGGAGGUGGGUGGGGGACGCUGGGGAGCCAGCUGUGGGGCUUCUCGCUUCAUUACAGUCGCUGCCCUUUAUAAAUAUUUAUAGCAGUUCUUCUGCUAAAAAUAACAUCCUGGAGCCCAGGGAGGAGGAAAAAAUAAAUGAAAAUCACCGGGAAUGAGACUUGAGGAUCACGUGUGCCCGAGCUGAAUGGACCCCUAAAGCGAGAGGCUGUGAGCAGCGCCCCUGCGGCGCGCCCCCUGGCGGCCACGGAGUCCGCGGCGCAGGGAGUCCCUCCCGCCCUCUCCGAGGAGGCCCAAGCCGAGCUGCCGCACGCGGCGCGGUCUCCGCCCCUCCCUCCCGGGCUGCAAAGCGGAGGGUUCGCUGGGGCUGGCGGAAGCCUAACCAGUGUGAGGCUAUUUUUAGCACCACGGUCAGGGUGUGAAUGUCUACGGAGCCGAGCAGGGCCUGACGCUUUCUUUGCACGAUAGAAUAAACCUGUUGGUUUUUAAAGGGCCAAGGUAAGGAAACUUGUGUCCCCACGUUCGGAAGCACCCCACGUGCUGGCCAGACGCCAGAAAGAGUUCCAUCAGGUCACACACACACACACACAUACACAAGGGCUUGGUGCUUUUUCUUUUCUCUUUUCAACCUCCAGGUAAAUUCCUGAUGCGGAGAUGAGCCCAUGCCCUGAGGGGAGUGAUGAAGGUGCUAGUACAUGCAGGGCUGUGCAGGGGAGGCCCACCAGCUGUGCCGCGCAGCCCCUCCCCGCUUCCCACCGGCUCUGCCUCCCCUCUCCCUGGCGGGUGGAGUGAAGUCUGGCAGCCUGCAAGCCUGGUCCAGGUGUGCGGUGGAAAGAUGGAGAGGAAUGUGCCUCUGGGGAAGACCUUGCCUUCGCCAUGUCGGCGCCAGCUUGCUCCUUGUCCUCUGUGCCUGCGCAAGACACACUCACCGUUAGUCACCUGCACUACCAGGGUUGGGGCAAACGCUGCUAACGUCUGCUGUGAAUGGGAGGCCAUGCGGGGAGGGGUUGCUAGGAUGCUGCGCACCUUUCAGGCGCUGGGGAGAAGGGUGGUACCUAGGGUCCCCUGCCAUCGUUCUGAAGGGUCAGGAAAUGUUUCCGUGGAAGAAAGAACUGGGUUCACAAUGCAAGGUUUGGAAUGCGGUGGUUUCUUGAGGAGAAUUGUGGCCGUGGAGAAGGGCAGGGAGGACUGAGGUGUGCCGAAUAAUGUAUGAUAGGAAAGGGAGGAAGCCUCAGCUCCAGGCCAGCACACCGCAGGCCUGGGCAUCCGGGAAACCAUGGCGCCCGAGUUUUAUGCUUUUAGUGUGACUCUCUGUUGGUGUUUCUCAUCACCCCGAUGUGGGUCAGAGAGGACAGGAUUAGGAGGCAGAAGACCCGCCUCCAAUUCCGCUUCUGGUGUGGGGGUUUGGCUUCCUCCAAGUGCAAUAAGGCGGUGGAGGCACAUGGCUCUGCCACGUUCCCUUGCACCCCAGUUCCUUCUGCCCCGGGGAGAGAGGGGCUCUGGCAGGCUCCUGCAGGGCGAGUCAGUUCCUGAUUUCCCUCCUCGGCUGCCACGGCCUAGGCUUGCUUGGCAGAGGACCUUGCCUGAAUGUGUACAGUGAGUUCAGGGAGAAGCCUCUCUCCAAGACCCAGGGGCACUGUGAUUUCCAGGGCAGCAAGAGAAUGCGCGUGGCCCAGGUGCUGCCCACCCCUCAGCUUGCAUAAUCCUGAAUCAGCACAGGCAGAGGCUGGAGGGGCCCCGGGGGAGCGGGCAGAGCCCUUCAAGGGCCUGGCUCGGAUGGGGACAGAGGGCUGAGAGAGGGCCAGAGGCUAUUCCAGGAUGAUGCAACUUGGGAGGGCCUGAAAAAACUCCUUUUCUGGAUUGUGGGGCUAGGGUCCUGGCUAUUUCACCAGAGGAAGAUGCCUAAUUUUUAAAAAUAAGAAGUGGGGGAGGGAAGAUAAGAUUUUCAAAUGGAGAAGUCUGAUAUCUUGGCCCUGGGACUAGAAAGAGUUAAGGUGUUGAGCUGGAAAAUGGGAAUGACUAAUUCCUAAAGGCAGUGAGCAUCUGCCCCUGGGGCAGCCAGCGCUUUUCUGCAUUGCUUCUUCAGGAAGUGAGAAGGUGCAGCUUGCGGGCACCGAGGGGAGCGGCUGGGUCAGCCUUGUAGUCAUGCCUGAAUCAAGUGUCUGUAGCUCGGGCUGUGACUGGGUGCAGUGCCGGGUGGUAGAAUCCAGGGACACACUGGCUGUGGUGUGGAUCCCAGGAAGGAAGUGGCCAAUGGCUUCGGGAAAGACGCAUGGGAGGCAGUGCUCCCCAGGGAGGUGGCCUUGCUCAGCUUGAUGUUUCAGCCACCGGUGUUGGGUCUGCCAAUGCCAUCCCAACACAGAGGACACCAGGCCCAUGCCCAAGGACCAGGCCUGCAGAUGUGCUGUGCAAGACGGGACACAGCCUAGAAAUAGGGCAAGGCGGGCACAUGGCUGGGCUGGGCAGAGGGAAGGUACAGUCGGGCUCUUUGAAGAAAGUUCUAAUUGCAUCUUCACCUGUUAGGACUGCCCUGGCUUGGGAGCUGUUACUGCAGAAAGGGAGGGGAAGGGAAGAUGCUGAGGAGGGAUGGCGGGACUGUAGGGAGGCAGAGGACUCUCUGUACUCACCUGAGCUUCCUCUGUGUCCGGCUCCUCUGCUAACCUGCGGCAGCAAGGGCAGAAACAACAGACUGAGGUCAUGGCCAGGCUCUUCUCAUGCCCCAGACUGUCUCUAGGGGCUUCCCUGACCCACCCACCCCACAGGCUUCCUGGCUUCUUCCCUGUUUCCUUCACGUUGACUUUUCCCACCCAGGUAUGAUAGCAGGAUAGAGUCCUACUUUCUACAGCUGUAGCCCACAUGAAGGAGCCAUGGAGACAGAUGCUUCUCAGGAGAAGGAAAGCAUUUAAAAAAUGGAACCAAAGCUCCUUCAAUCCAGGGAGCAGUUCCAUUAGCGGGGCAAAACCCACGCAGCUCUGGAAGGUCCCCAAGGGAACAUGACUGCUGUGAUUGAGGGCGAUCUCCUCCUGCAGAUGAUUGCAAGCCUGUGCGCUUGCUCAUCUGAGGCUCCAGCACUGCCUGCCCCUCCCGAGCCUGCUUGGUUCUUGGAGGCCACUGCUGUCCAGACUUGCACCAAGGCUCUUUAUGGAUGCAAAUUGGAUUUAUAGCCCCCCCCACACUGGGAUGGCAGGGUCUGGGAGGGCAGGUUCUCAGGGACACAGGAGCAUAACAUGAGGCUCUGGAGGGGUGGAGAUGUUGUACUAUGAGGGAAGUUGUGUUAGUCUGUGCUUCUGUGCGUCUUGGUUACACUUCUCUGAGGAGGUACAAAGGAGGAAGGGUACUCCGAUGGAGCAGAAGCAUUUUCCCAGGAUGCACCCAGACAGCCCGGAUGAACAGGGAGAGGCGUGAGGCAGGUGUGAAAUAUGGCGGGGAAGUAAAGCUUGGUCCAGAUUCUUCCAAAGUCCCAUUUGACUCUUACGGUUUUCCCAUCGAGCAGACUGUGCUUGCCUGACAGUGCCGACCAAGUUCUGUUUAUAUCAUGUCAGUAUGGUUUCAACCCCAGAGAAGCAAACGCGCGCUCUCUCUCUACAGUGGACGGUUACAGAUCUCUGGUGUCCAGGUGACUGCAGUCAGUUCUAGGUAUGUAAAAUUUCAGGCCUAGCUCAUGGCAGAGAAUCAGAAGGUCCACCAUGAAAACACUUAGUCUUAUAAAAAUGCCCAUGUAAGAACUACAUUGUAGUUUCAAGGACAUAUCCUAGGACCUAAAUAAUGUGGAGAGCCAAACAUAAAAAACACUACCAUCUCUCACCACUGACUCUUAGCACUCUUGGCUUUAGGGAUGACACCAGAAAGUCAUAGAAAUAAAAAUUCAGGCAUUCCCACAAAAAGAUUUCACACAGACAUAGACGUUCUGGUACAUGCACUGAAAGACAGACAAGGAGCUCUAAGGGCAAGAGGCACAGAAAGACAGAAGACGGGGACAGGACAGUGCAGGUGCAAAGACAGCGCUCUGGAGCCUGGAGGGUCCAGGCAAGGGAAUCGUGGUCCGACCCCCAUGUGAGGCGUGGCCCACACUCAGACUGGAACCAGGUAAAGGCUGGAGUUCACGGCCAGGGCCAGGCCUCAGGGGCUGGGGCAGAGUCCUAGGUUUGCUUUGGGGGACUGAAAGAGACUGAGGAGAGGCCAUGGGAAAAAGCCACUGGGGACGGGAGGGGCAGGGGAAGGGAGGCCAGAGAUGCAGCUGUUACAUCUUCAGCCAGGAAUAUUCCACACCAAUGCUGGGAUUUGGGUGGCAUGUGAGUGUGUGCGUGUGUGCGUGUGUUUGGAGCAUGUGUUUACACCAGUGUAAAGUUAUCUGUGUAUCUCUUCACCUCUUGCCCUCCUGCUUUCUUUGUUGUCUGUGUGGGGAAGUCAGUUGUUUGUAUAUAUCUAUGAAGCAUCUCUGGAUGUCUAAAACACUACUGCUCUCUAGUGUGACCUUUUAUUUAUUUUUAGGGACAGGGCUUUGCUCUGUCACCCAGGCUGAAAUGAAGUGGCAUAAUUAUGGCUCACUGCAGCCUUAAACUCCUGGUCUCAAGCAAUCCUCCUGCCUCUGCCUGCCAAGUAGCCAGGACUACAGGUGUUUACUGCCACAUCCGGCUAAUGACUUCUGUUUUGUAGAGAUGGGGUCUUGCUGUGUUGCCUAGGCUGGUCUCAAACUCCUGGUCUCAAGUGAUCUUCCUGCCUCAGCCUCCCAAAGUUCUGGGAUUACAGGCGUGAGCCACCAUGCCCAGCCUAGUCUGACCUUUUGGCGUUCAUGCCAAAUAUGUCAUUCUCAUCAAUUCACUGGCGCUGUUGUCCACUUCCUCCCCCGCCUAGUUCAGACUCACAAGAUGAUUUCAGAAUCUGCAGAAUAUUCUUCCUCAGCAGUUUCAGUGUCCUUGCUGACAAAUUCCUUGCCCCCCUGAGACUCCAAAGACCUCCCUCUCUUAGCCACACCAGCCCCAAUAGGCCAACAACGCUCCAGACCUCUGUCCCAGGGGUUUCCCUUCCUUGUCACAGCUUCCUUACCUGCCUCUCCCUCUUGACUUCUUUCUACCCUUCCUUAGACCACUCCACUUCGCUUUGUCUACUAGUUCUGCUCAGACUAAAGCACGGGCACUGGAGUUAAACUCAGGCUGUGCCAUUAUCACCUGGCAGAUUCUUUCACUCCCCUGAGCCUUGUUCAGAAUUCCUCCGUCAGAGGGCUGGGGCUGGCUCCUCUUCAUCCUUCCUGCCUUCCCUACCUUCACCUCCUUGGGGUGACCAGCCAUUCCAUUUCUCUCCCUUGAUAAGGUACUGUCUCAUCACCCCAUUUAUUUCUAAUUUGUUCAUUAACUGACCUCCUACUAAGUGCCAGGUGCAGUUCUAGGCAGUGGGAACACAACAUGAACAAAACAGACUAAAAUCUCUGCCUGGGGGAGCUAGCAUUUAGGAGGAAUCCAGCAGCCAACAUAUUAACUCAUGGCAGAAAGAACAGCUAACCCUCAAAUGCCCAAAGAGAAUCUUGUUUUCUGUUCAGUAUAACAUAGAAGGAUGAAGAUUAAGAGCAUGAAGUCUGGAGCCAGAAAGACCCAGUUCAAGCCUAAUCUCCGCCUUUUUUUUUUUUUUUUUGAGACAGAGUCUCUCUUUGUUGCCCAGGCAGGAGUGCAGUGGUGCAAUUUCGACUCACUGCAACCUCCACUUCCCAGGUUCAAGGGAUUCUCCUGCCUCAGCCUCCUGAGUAGCUGCAAUUAUAGGCAUGCACCACCAAACCUGGGUAAUUUUUGUAUGUUUAAUAGAGAACAGGGUUUCACCACGUUGGACAGGCUGGUCUCAAACUCUUGGCCUCAGGUGGUCGCCCACCUCGGCCUCCCAGAGUGCUGGGAUUACAGGCGUGAGACACUGCACCUGGCCUAAUGUCUGCCAUUAACAUGAACAUGAGCAGCAUCUCUCUGAGCCUGUCUCCUCAUGGGUGAAAUGGGGAUACUGGAAUCUGUCUCACAGUGUUGUUGAGGAUUAGAUGAUAUCAUCACACAAGAAAAUCAUUCCACGCACAUCUUCCCAGAUGUCAUGUAUGAAACAGGUUUGAUAUAUAAUGAAACUAGGAAGGCAUUACUGUCCUUUGCUGACCACUUCCCUUCUUGCUUUUAUUCUUCCACGAAGGCACAAAACCAUUGGGCUAUUCUGGCCCACAAGAAUCUCUUCCUUUUCAGAAACCCUUUUUAUACUUACAUGUCAGCAUAUAAGUUUUAUGAUUAGCAUUUUUUGCCACUUCAUUUUAUCUCCUAUUUCACAUUUUUAGUUUUGCUUUCUUAACGAUCAUAAACUUCUCCCGUCAAGGGAGUCAUGUUUUAUGUUUUACUUGUAUCUCCUUCCUGUAUUCCAACAACCUAUCCCAGGAUCAGGAAAUCAGGAAGCUUUUGCUGACGGGCUGACAUUACCACCUGGAAGGUGAAACCUGUCAGAUGAGGAAAGUGGGCAGAGGGAACUUGGGUCUGGAAGCUUUGGGAAAGGUGGUGGCAGGAAGGAAUGCAGAAACAAAGUCGGGGGCAGUUCAUCCAUGGGCUCUGGCUCCCCAUUCAAACUAGGAGUCCUGUUGAGCUGCCUUUACCUCUGUCUUUCCCAUUCUGCAUCUUCUCCUCUUCUUCCUCUGCACCUUCCUCUGCUGUGAAAACAAGUCCAAGGAGGCCAGUGACCCUUCAGCACAGUGCAAGUACAGAAGGAGGGGGAACAAAGCAACUGCUGAGGCUCGGGAGGAAACCCUAGCUAAGCUCCUGGCUGCAGGCCCCAAGGGUGCUUCAGCUCCGCAGUCUGCACCUGCGUGGCCCACGCCCAGCAAUGCUGAAUAGGAGCCGGUGAGCCGGGAGCCCACAGGGAGAAGUGCAGUCACAUCACUCAGUUUCCUGACCGGGCAGGGGUGGGGGGUGUGUGUCUCUGUUCUAUGCCUGUCUGUCCUCAGGUGGUGACAACCAGGGAGAUGUCUAAUGUCUUGUAUUCAGGUUUAAGAAAGCAACCAUAAAAUAUAUGGUGGGGAAUACCCAGAUCAAUACCAGUUUCUGUAAAAAAAAAAAAAAAAAAUCCAGAUGUUUUAGUGGAUGAUAAACGUACAAUGACCACACAGUGCAAAGCGCUAUGUGGGAAACGCUAAUGCUGUCUAAGGUGCUUUUCCAGGAGCCCACUCAAGAGUUUCACAGAUGCCCUGUGGUCUGCAGGGAAAGGAGCCCCCGUGAUGGACAGCAGGGUGCCCAGCCCUGGGUGUGCACUUUACAUAGGGGCCUUGGAAAAUGGCCACAUCCUGGUGUGGUCAAGCAGGCUGGGAAGAGUAAACCAUGUCAUGGUUGGGAAGGCUGAAGAAUUGGGUGUAGCUGUCUAAAGAGAAGACUAGGGAGGGUCAUGUCAUCUGCCAUCCAACCCAUGAAAGGCCAGCCUGCAGAGGAGGCACUAGGCUCAUCCUGGGUAGCUUUAGAGGAGGGAACAGGGAUAAAUCAGUUACAGAAAGGCAGAUUUUGGCUCCCCACUAAGAAAGAACUUUCCAGUGACUAGAGUUGGUCAUGAAUGAGCUCGCUGGAAAUACUCAGAGAACUGUUGUACUGGGUCAAGUUGGAUUAAAUGACUUCUAAGAUCCUGUCCAAUUCUUUGUUUUUUUUUUUGAGAUGGAGUUUUGCUCUUGUCACCCAGGCUGGAGUGCUCAUUGGAACCUCCACAUCCUGAAUUCAAGCGAUUCUCCUGUCUCAGCCUCCUGAGUAGUUGGGAUUACAGGCUCCCACCACCACACCUGGCUAAUUUUGUAUUUUUAGUAGAGAUGGGGUUUCACCAUGUUGGUCAGGAUGGUCUCGAACUCCUGACCUUAGGUGAUCAGACCCACCUCGGCCUCCCAGUGCUGGGAUUAUAGGUAAGCCACCAUGCUGGCCUUGAUCCUUUCCAAUGCUAGGAUUCCAUUAUAAAAAAUUUAUAAAUAUGAGGAGUACAAGCUAUGUAUAUAUACUGUGUAUACACUGUAUAGAAUAUAAGUAAAGAUAAUCUUAAUAUGUCCUCUCAUUGGAACAAAAACCUGUAGUCACAGUCAAGAAGACAGUAAAGACGUGCUGGUGUUGGGCGAA